This 246-nucleotide long non-coding RNA is filed under the name Mytilus galloprovincialis (Mediterranean mussel). The record is from RNAcentral. Lineage: Eukaryota; Metazoa; Mollusca; Bivalvia; Mytilida; Mytilidae.
UUCUAUUCCUAAUCAGGCUCUGAAUUGUAGUGAUUUAGCUGAUUUUUGAAAGAUUUUACUAUGUCUAACAACCAAAAAAUAGAGUGUCCGUUACCAUGGCAACACUCGUUUUUCCCACUCAUAUUUAUUUUUUGAGUAGUAUUUAGUUACUGCUUCUUCUAGGCCAUUUAUAGAUAAAAUCUGAAACCCUCAUAAAUCACAUGUAUAUGGCACCCUGCCUGGUUCUUACAAAGAGCUGUACUUAAA